This 1272-nucleotide long non-coding RNA is filed under the name Homo sapiens (human). RNAcentral describes it as "PSMB8 antisense RNA 1". Lineage: Eukaryota; Metazoa; Chordata; Mammalia; Primates; Hominidae. The record is from RNAcentral.
UCCACAUCCCCCUGCCUUUUCCGAGAAAAGGACAGUUAGUGCCUGGACCAGGACCAUCACACUGGGGACCGGCUUCUCUGCUCUCCCGUUAUGGGGGUCGGGGGAAUGAUGGGUCAAGGGUCUUCCGAAGAAAGCGAGAAAGGAACAGGCGCCUUCAAAAGCCCACUUGGCGAUGGGUUACAGUAAGAGGAAGUCUGCAUUAUCACGAGGAGCUUGGAAAGGAGGUAACACACUCAAGGCAAAUUUCAAGUAACUCAUCCUGGAGGCAGCUGCCUACUCUGCAGCUGUGGUUCUCCACCACAGAGAGAAGAAAAGGGAGGGAGAUGGAGUGCGCAGGUCUGAGAAGGCUUUCAUUCUGGAGCAUCUGCAGGAGCCUGCACCAUGGCCCAGUAGCACCCCUUUUUCUCCAUGAGCUGCUGGUGGGUUCCCCCCUCCCGGAUAGCGCCUCCUUCCAGAAAGAGGAUGUGGUCAGCCUGCUCCACCAGGCUGAGGUGCUGGGUGAUGAGAAGCACUGAGCGGGAGUACCGCUCAGGGCUUUCGUACAGGAGCUGCUCCACCUGAGGAAAGACAUCGGACCGUCAGAGCCGGGGACUACCCUCAGCCCAGGGAGACACCUGUGUUUCCAGGGCUGGGACUGACCUCACAGGAUCACUGCUGGCUCUGCUAACAACCCCAAGGACACCAACGUUUCCCAUUCUGAGUACUUCUCCGCAAACCCUUUGUUUCAUUAAGGACUGUUUUACAUGAAGGGUGCAAAAGUAGGAUAAAAAUGAGAACCCUAGGGUGAAACACGUGACAGAAGAAUAAAGACUAUUGAAUAGUCCUCUUCUCUACCCAUGGACUUGGCAUUUUUAUAUUCGAUUUUAAGGAAAUAUAACUUAGUAGUAAAGAGAUGAGCAUUCAAGUCAGGCAGACCUGAAUUUGGGUCAAGGCUGCGCCACUCAAAAGCUAUAUGACCUCUAUAUGAGCAGCUUAUUCAACCUCUUUUAACCUCCAUUUUGUCAUCUGUAGAAUGAUGAUAAAUGCCUAGCUCAGAAGGAUUCCUAAUGAAUAAAUGAGUGACAGUGCAUGUAAACAGACUAGCUUAAUUAAUAUUAAUAUGAUUAGGAUGGGCUGGGCCCGGUGGCUCAUGCCUAUAAUCCUAGCACUUUGGGAGGUCAAGGAGGGAGGAUCACUUGGGCCCAGGAGUUCAAGGCCAGCCUGGGCAACAUAGCGGGACGCUGUCUGUACAAAAAAUAAUUUUUUUAAAUAAACGAUAUUAUGAGGAUGGUC